ACGAGGGGCUUCUCACUCAGUCUUCAUACAACUGCCAUAACAACCAGGUUAACAUUAAAAAUCGACGAUAACUGAAAAGGUAUACCAUCAUGGGUUUUAAAGGUUUUACGGUCUUCAUGUGUUUGUUGAUGGGAUGUCAUUGUAAACCAAUUGUUGACAAGAUUGGAGUGUUUGGCGGCAGUUGUCCGCUGCUCAGGGCUAAACGAGUUAAUUCAGGAGCUCCUACACUAGGCUUUGGCAGUUGUUGCAGUAAAGAUUCAGGAACAGAUUUUGUUAUAACGA
Molecule: long non-coding RNA, 282 nt
Organism: Exaiptasia diaphana
Lineage: Eukaryota; Metazoa; Cnidaria; Anthozoa; Actiniaria; Aiptasiidae
Exons: 3
Source: RefSeq, a predicted model, not a curated record